GAACGCUGGCGGCAGGCCUAACACAUGCAAGUCGAGCGGCAGCGCGUCCGACCACCCUCGGGUGGUCGGAUGGCGGCGAGCGGCGGACGGGUGAGGAAUGCAUCGGAAUCUGCCUCGUUGUGGGGGAUAACGUAGGGAAACUUACGCUAAUACCGCAUACGACCUACGGGUGAAAGUGGGGGACCUUCGGGCCUCACGCGAUGAGAUGAGCCGAUGCCGGAUUAGCUAGUUGGCGGGGUAAAGGCCCACCAAGGCGACGAUCCGUAGCUGGUCUGAGAGGAUGAUCAGCCACACUGGAACUGAGACACGGCCCAGACUCCUACGGGAGGCAGCAGUGGGGAAUAUUGGACAAUGGGCGCAAGCCUGAUCCAGCAAUGCCGCGUGUGUGAAGAAGGCCUGCGGGUUGUAAAGCACUUUCAGUGGGGAAGAACAGAUUCGGGUCAAUACCCCGGAGCCCUGACGUUACCCACAGAAGAAGCACCGGCUAACUCCGUG
RNAcentral lists this ribosomal RNA (495 nucleotides) under uncultured bacterium. Its description in RNAcentral is "bacterial SSU rRNA". It matches the Rfam family "Bacterial small subunit ribosomal RNA", at positions 31 to 507 of the family's 1533-position model. The record is from RNAcentral.